This 315-nucleotide unclassified non-coding RNA is filed under the name plant metagenome. RNAcentral's name for it is "partial contains 5.8S ribosomal RNA, internal transcribed spacer 2, and large subunit ribosomal RNA". The stretch from base 1 to 105 matches the Rfam family "5.8S ribosomal RNA", at positions 50 to 154 of the family's 154-position model. The record is from RNAcentral.
GAACUGCGAUAAGUAAUGUGAAUUGCAGAAUUCAGUGAAUCAUCGAGUCUUUGAACGCACAUUACGCCCCCUGGCAUUCCGGGGGGCAUGCCUGUCCGAGCGUCAUUGCUGCCCUUCAAGCCCGGCUUGUGUGUUGGGUCGUCGUCCCCCCCGGGGGACGGACCCGAAAGGCAGCGGCGGCACCGUGUCCGGUCCUCGAGCGUAUGGGGCUUUGUCACCCGCUCGAUUAGGUCCGGCCGGGCGCCCGCCGGCGUCAAACCCCAAUCUUUCUAAGGUUGACCUCGGAUCAGGUAGGGAUACCCGCUGAACUUAAGC